This 253-nucleotide ribosomal RNA is filed under the name uncultured bacterium. Its description in RNAcentral is "partial 16S ribosomal RNA". It matches the Rfam family "Bacterial small subunit ribosomal RNA", at positions 524 to 776 of the family's 1533-position model. The record is from RNAcentral.
UACGGGGGGGGCAAGCGUUGUUCGGAAUUACUGGGCGUAGAGGGUUAGUAGGUGGCCAACUAAGUCAGACGUGAAAUCCCUCAGCUUAACUGGGGAACUGCGUCUGAGACUGAUUGGCUCGAGGACAGGAGAGGAACGCGGAAUUCCAGGUGUAGCGGUGAAAUGCGUAGAUAUCUGGAGGAACACCGGUGGCGAAGGCGGCGUUCUGGACUGUUUCUGACACUGAAUAACGAAAGCCAGGGGAGCAAACGGG